Molecule: ribosomal RNA, 261 nt
Filed under: uncultured bacterium
Lineage: Bacteria
Description: partial 16S ribosomal RNA
Rfam family: Bacterial small subunit ribosomal RNA
Source: RNAcentral
CAGAGGGGUGCGAGCGUUAAUCGGAUUCACUGGGGCGUAAAGCGUGCGUAGGCGGCUUUUUUAAGUCGGAUGUGAAAUCCCCCGAGCUUAACUUGGGAAUUGCAUUUCGAUACUGGGGAAGCUAGAGUAUGGGGAGAGGAUGGUAGAAUUCCAGGUGUAGCGGUGAAAUGCGUAGAGAUCUGGAGGAAUACCGAUGGCGAAGGCAGCCAUCUGGCCUAAUACUGACGCUGAGGUACGAAAGCAUGGGGAGCAAACAGGAUU